Molecule: ribosomal RNA, 294 nt
Filed under: Triticum aestivum (bread wheat)
Lineage: Eukaryota; Viridiplantae; Streptophyta; Magnoliopsida; Poales; Poaceae
Description: partial small subunit ribosomal RNA
Source: RNAcentral
AUGGUCACUGCUAAGCGCUUUUGGUCCCAAAUCUUCGGUGUUGCUUUUUCCAAUAAACGUUGGUUACAUUUCUUUAUCCUAUUGGUACCCGUCACCGGUUUAUGGAUGAGUGCUAUUGGCAUAGUUGGCUUGGCUCUGAACUUACGUGCCUAUGACUUUGUUUCCCAGGAAAUCCGUGCAGCGGAAGAUCCUGAAUUUGAGACUUUCUACACCAAAAAUAUUCUUUUAAACAUAGUUUUUAUAAAAAAAACUUGGGCCUCUUUGAUUCGUAGGAUUUCCAAAACGCGGGAAUAG